RNAcentral lists this transfer RNA (71 nucleotides) under Marmota monax (woodchuck). RNAcentral's name for it is "tRNA.Ala". The record is from RNAcentral. Lineage: Eukaryota; Metazoa; Chordata; Mammalia; Rodentia; Sciuridae.
GGGGAUGUGGCUCAGAGGUAGAGUGCAUGCCUAGCCUGCCUGAGGCACUGAGUUCCAUCCUCAGCACCACA